CAGGCUAUCACCAGCAUUAAAGUUCUGGCUGUUUAGUAAAGUUGUUGUUUGCAUAUGUUUACUUUCUCCUGUUUUCUUCCUUGCCCAUGCCUAAUUUCCUCCUUGAUUUGAGGUAAUAAAGAUGCAUCUCUUCUGUUCAUUACUGUUUCACUGCACUUUUUCCAGCCCUGUUGUCCUUUACCGAUUAACUUGAGAGGUUUUCGGAGUAAAAAAACUGAAGGAAACAAACUUCUGGACACUAAAGCACAUUGGUAACUUGGAAAGAUUAUUUUUUGAAUUAAGGUUCUAAUUUAAGAUCAAUUGGCUUCUUCUAAAGCAGCUAUUCAGUCAAUUUCUCAUGCGGCUGUAGAGCAACCUUUUCCUGCCAAUUUGUCUCAGGAUCAUGCUCUUGGACACCACAGCAGUUUCUCCAUUUUGGCAAAGCAAAGUGCUCUGUAAAAUGCUGGGGCUCUUGAGACUGUCUUGGUCAACACCAAUCAAAACCUGAAUUACCACAUUUGAGGAAGUUCUGAAUAUGGCGUCAAAUUGUCGUGAAUGCCAGGCCUUCAGUCUCCAACUGGUCUUUUAGAGAAGCAACAACUAAUUCAGUUUGCAGAAUCACUUCACAGCAAGCUCGGCUACUUUGAUGAAUUUGAGAAUGUAAAGGUUUCAUUUCUAUUUACCUCAAUAUUAUUGCAUCGUUUGAUGUUUGAUGUUUGAUGUUGUUUUACCGGCAAAAGCAGUGUGACUUACAUAUUGAUAAGUUCGGUUACUCAUAGUUUUGUAUUAGAUGUGCCUAAGGUGAACUUGAUAAUGAAAUCUGAUACUUAUUAUCCAUGUUACAAAGAUCUAAGCUCAACAAGAAUUUUUCCUAAUUUUACUUAAUAAGAAAUUAUUGGGUUUUAGUUUCUUGAA
This is a long non-coding RNA of Ipomoea nil (Japanese morning glory), 894 nucleotides long. RefSeq lists it as uncharacterized. The record is from RefSeq and is a predicted model, not a curated record. Lineage: Eukaryota; Viridiplantae; Streptophyta; Magnoliopsida; Solanales; Convolvulaceae. The transcript has 3 exons.